This is a non-coding RNA of Aegilops tauschii subsp. strangulata, 400 nucleotides long. Lineage: Eukaryota; Viridiplantae; Streptophyta; Magnoliopsida; Poales; Poaceae. The record is from RefSeq and is a predicted model, not a curated record.
AAACUUUGAGGAUCUAUCAAAGGGGAAGUACAACAGAGAUGUCAGGGUAGGGCAAGGAGUCCCUGCUGUUCCGGUGAUUAACUAUGUGCGCACCGAGAUCAAGAAAGCAGCUGAUGAGAGCCAGUCUAUUCUGGAGAACACACCGGUUGGAAAAGGCAAUGAUGAUGGUUCACUACAAGCAUUCCUCAAGCGUCAGGCCAAGAAGUUAAGGCAGUUAUCGAAUCUUCUCGGUUGUCGUGAUCCCGAAUUUGAUGAACCAUCUGCCUCUAGGUCUGGUACACCAUCAGACCCCUCAUCUCACCAUCAGGGGGAUGAUGUGAGUUCCUCAUAUGCUUAUCUGGAUGAUGAGGGCACGGUCACCCAAGAGGUAUGACUAAUCCUUUAGAUGUGAUUCUCACUU